This 377-nucleotide ribosomal RNA is filed under the name uncultured bacterium. RNAcentral's name for it is "bacterial SSU rRNA". It matches the Rfam family "Bacterial small subunit ribosomal RNA", at positions 521 to 896 of the family's 1533-position model. The record is from RNAcentral.
UAAUACAGAGGGUGCGAGCGUUAAUCGGAAUUACUGGGCGUAAAGGGUGCGUAGGUGGUUACGUAAGUUAGGUGUGAAAGCCCCGGGCUUAACCUGGGAAUUGCGCUUGAUACUGCGUGGCUAGAGUACUGUAGAGGAAAGUGGAAUUUCCGGUGUAGCGGUGAAAUGCGUAGAUAUCGGAAGGAACAUCGGUGGCGAAGGCGACUUUCUGGACAGAUACUGACACUGAGGCACGAAAGCAUGGGGAGCAAACAGGAUUAGAUACCCUGGUAGUCCAUGCUGUAAACGAUGAGGACUGGCUGUUGGAUGCCUAAGGGCAUUUAGUAGCGAAGCAAACGCGUUAAGUUCUCCGCCUGGGGAGUACGGCCGCAAGGUUA